RNAcentral lists this ribosomal RNA (1594 nucleotides) under Escherichia coli P0305260.1. Its description in RNAcentral is "bacterial LSU rRNA". It matches the Rfam family "Bacterial large subunit ribosomal RNA", at positions 1351 to 2925 of the family's 2925-position model. Lineage: Bacteria; Pseudomonadati; Pseudomonadota; Gammaproteobacteria; Enterobacterales; Enterobacteriaceae. The record is from RNAcentral.
GUUCCUGUCCAACGUUAAUCGGGGCAGGGUGAGUCGACCCCUAAGGCGAGGCCGAAAGGCGUAGUCGAUGGGAAACAGGUUAAUAUUCCUGUACUUGGUGUUACUGCGAAGGGGGGACGGAGAAGGCUAUGUUGGCCGGGCGACGGUUGUCCCGGUUUAAGCGUGUAGGCUGGUUUUCCAGGCAAAUCCGGAAAAUCAAGGCUGAGGCGUGAUGACGAGGCACUACGGUGCUGAAGCAACAAAUGCCCUGCUUCCAGGAAAAGCCUCUAAGCAUCAGGUAACAUCAAAUCGUACCCCAAACCGACACAGGUGGUCAGGUAGAGAAUACCAAGGCGCUUGAGAGAACUCGGGUGAAGGAACUAGGCAAAAUGGUGCCGUAACUUCGGGAGAAGGCACGCUGAUAUGUAGGUGAGGUCCCUCGCGGAUGGAGCUGAAAUCAGUCGAAGAUACCAGCUGGCUGCAACUGUUUAUUAAAAACACAGCACUGUGCAAACACGAAAGUGGACGUAUACGGUGUGACGCCUGCCCGGUGCCGGAAGGUUAAUUGAUGGGGUUAGCGCAAGCGAAGCUCUUGAUCGAAGCCCCGGUAAACGGCGGCCGUAACUAUAACGGUCCUAAGGUAGCGAAAUUCCUUGUCGGGUAAGUUCCGACCUGCACGAAUGGCGUAAUGAUGGCCAGGCUGUCUCCACCCGAGACUCAGUGAAAUUGAACUCGCUGUGAAGAUGCAGUGUACCCGCGGCAAGACGGAAAGACCCCGUGGACCUUUACUAUAGCUUGACACUGAACAUUGAGCCUUGAUGUGUAGGAUAGGUGGGAGGCUUGGAAGUGUGGACGCCAGUCUGCAUGGAGCCGACCUUGAAAUACCACCCUUUAAUGUUUGAUGUUCUAACGUUGACCCGUAAUCCGGGUUGCGGACAGUGUCUGGUGGGUAGUUUGACUGGGGCGGUCUCCUCCUAAAGAGUAACGGAGGAGCACGAAGGUUGGCUAAUCCUGGUCGGACAUCAGGAGGUUAGUGCAAUGGCAUAAGCCAGCUUGACUGCGAGCGUGACGGCGCGAGCAGGUGCGAAAGCAGGUCAUAGUGAUCCGGUGGUUCUGAAUGGAAGGGCCAUCGCUCAACGGAUAAAAGGUACUCCGGGGAUAACAGGCUGAUACCGCCCAAGAGUUCAUAUCGACGGCGGUGUUUGGCACCUCGAUGUCGGCUCAUCACAUCCUGGGGCUGAAGUAGGUCCCAAGGGUAUGGCUGUUCGCCAUUUAAAGUGGUACGCGAGCUGGGUUUAGAACGUCGUGAGACAGUUCGGUCCCUAUCUGCCGUGGGCGCUGGAGAACUGAGGGGGGCUGCUCCUAGUACGAGAGGACCGGAGUGGACGCAUCACUGGUGUUCGGGUUGUCAUGCCAAUGGCACUGCCCGGUAGCUAAAUGCGGAAGAGAUAAGUGCUGAAAGCAUCUAAGCACGAAACUUGCCCCGAGAUGAGUUCUCCCUGACCCUUUAAGGGUCCUGAAGGAACGUUGAAGACGACGACGUUGAUAGGCCGGGUGUGUAAGCGCAGCGAUGCGUUGAGCUAACCGGUACUAAUGAACCGUGAGGCUUAACCUU